AUUGAACGCUGGCGGCAUGCCUAACACAUGCAAGUCGAGCGAGCGGCGGACGGGUGAGUAAUGUAUGGGGAUCUGCCCGAUAGAGGGGGAUAACUACUGGAAACGGUGGCUAAUACCGCAUACUAUCGGAUGUGCCCAUAUGGGAUUAGCUAGUAGGUGGGGUAAAGGCUCACCUAGGCGACGAUCCCUAGCUGGUCUGAGAGGAUUACCAGCCACACAGGAACUGAGAAACGGCCCAGACGCCUACGGGAGGCAGCAGUGGGGAAUAUUGCACAAUGGGCGCAAGCCUGAUGCAGCCAGGCCGCGUGUAUGAAGAAGGCCUUAGGGUUGUAAAGUACUUUCAGCGCGGAGGCGUUACCCGCAGAAGAAGCACCGGCUAACUCCGUGCCAGCAGCCGCGGUAAUUC
RNAcentral lists this ribosomal RNA (406 nucleotides) under uncultured bacterium. RNAcentral's name for it is "partial 16S ribosomal RNA". It matches the Rfam family "Bacterial small subunit ribosomal RNA", at positions 30 to 526 of the family's 1533-position model. The record is from RNAcentral.